UAGGGAAUUUUCCACAAUGGGCGAAAGCCUGAUGGAGCAACGCCGCGUGCAGGAUGAAGGCCUUCGGGUCGUAAACUGCUUUUAUGUGAGAAGAAUAUGACGGUAACACAUGAAUAAGGGUCGGCUAACUACGUGCCAGCAGCCGCGGUCAUACGUAGGACCCAAGCGUUAUCCGGAAUUACUGGGCGUAAAGAGUUGCGUAGGUGGCACUGUAAGUGGAGCGUGAAAGCGUGCGGCUCAACCGCAUUACUGCGUUCCAAACUGCAGAGCUUGAGUAUGAGAGAGGUAGAUGGAAUUCCCAGUGUAGGAGUGAAAUCCGUAGAUAUUGGGAGGAACACCGAUGGCGUAGGCAGUCUACUGGCUCAUUACUGACACUAAGGCACGAAAGCGUGGGGAGCAAACGGG
Molecule: ribosomal RNA, 405 nt
Filed under: uncultured bacterium
Lineage: Bacteria
Description: bacterial SSU rRNA
Rfam family: Bacterial small subunit ribosomal RNA
Source: RNAcentral